GUUCGGAAGCUCAUUCUGGUGGAGCAACCGGUGCAAGCCGGUGUGUGGCGGGUUCGAAUCCCGUCCGAACGCCG
This 74-nucleotide transfer RNA is filed under the name Burkholderia cepacia GG4. Its description in RNAcentral is "tRNA-OTHER". Lineage: Bacteria; Pseudomonadati; Pseudomonadota; Betaproteobacteria; Burkholderiales; Burkholderiaceae. The record is from RNAcentral.